RNAcentral lists this ribosomal RNA (492 nucleotides) under uncultured bacterium. RNAcentral describes it as "partial 16S ribosomal RNA". It matches the Rfam family "Bacterial small subunit ribosomal RNA", at positions 29 to 507 of the family's 1533-position model. The record is from RNAcentral.
AGUGAACGCUGGCGGUAGGCCUAACACAUGCAAGUCGAACGGCAGCACAGUAAGAGCUUGCUCUUACGGGUGGCGAGUGGCGGACGGGUGAGGAAUACAUCGGAAUCUACUUUUUCGUGGGGGAUAACGUAGGGAAACUUACGCUAAUACCGCAUACGACCUACGGGUGAUAGCAGGGGAUCUUCGGACCUUGCGCGAUUGAAUGAGCCGAUGUCGGAUUAGCUAGUUGGCGGGGUAAAGGCCCACCAAGGCGACGAUCCGUAGCUGGUCUGAGAGGAUGAUCAGCCACACUGGAACUGAGACACGGUCCAGACUCCUACGGGAGGCAGCAGUGGGGAAUAUUGGACAAUGGGCGCAAGCCUGAUCCAGCCAUACCGCGUGGGUGAAGAAGGCCUUCGGGUUGUAAAGCCCUUUUGUUGGGAAAGAAAAGCAGCAGGUUAAUACCCCGCUGUUCUGACGGUACCCAAAGAAUAAGCGCCGGCUAACUUCGUG